This 406-nucleotide ribosomal RNA is filed under the name uncultured bacterium. Its description in RNAcentral is "partial 16S ribosomal RNA". It matches the Rfam family "Bacterial small subunit ribosomal RNA", at positions 28 to 526 of the family's 1533-position model. The record is from RNAcentral.
GACGAACGCUGGCGGCGUGCUUAACACAUGCAAGUCGAACGAGUGGCGAACGGGUGAGUAACGCGUAGGUAACUGCCUGGUAGCGGGGGAUAACUAUUGGAAACGAUAGCUAAUACCGCAUACUACCAGAUGGACCUGCGUUGUAUUAGCUAGUUGGUGGGGUAACGGCUCACCAAGGCAACGAUACAUAGCCGACCUGAGAGGGUGAUCGGCCACAAUGGGACUGAGACACGGCCCAGACUCCUACGGGAGGCAGCAGUAGGGAAUCUUCGGCAAUGGGGGGAACCCUGACCGAGCAACGCCGCGUGAGUGAAGAAGGGUUUCGGAUCGUAAAGCUCUGUUGUUAAGGAAGCGGUACUUAACCAGAAAGGGACGGCUAACUACGUGCCAGCAGCCGCGGUAAUUC